ACUCCUACGGGGAGGCAGCAGUGGGGAAUAUUGCACAAUGGGGGAAACCCUGAUGCAGCCAUGCCGCGUGUGUGAAGAAGGCCUUCGGGUUGUAAAGCACUUUCAGUAGGGAGGAAGGUAGUGUAGUUAACACCUGCAUUAUUUGUACGUUACCUACAGAAGAAGCACCGGCUAACUCCGUGCCAGCAGCCGCGGUAAGUACGGAGGGUGCGAGCGUUAAUCGGAAUUACUGGGCGUAAAGCGCAUGCGAGGCGGCCUGUUAAGUCAGAUGUGAAACGCCCGGGGUCUUAACCUCGGAAUUGCAUUUGAAACUGGCAGGCUAGAGUCUUGUAGUAGGGGUUAGAAUUUCGAGGUGUAGCGGUGAAAGUGCGUAGAG
RNAcentral lists this ribosomal RNA (376 nucleotides) under uncultured bacterium. RNAcentral's name for it is "bacterial SSU rRNA". It matches the Rfam family "Bacterial small subunit ribosomal RNA", at positions 335 to 695 of the family's 1533-position model. The record is from RNAcentral.